RNAcentral lists this ribosomal RNA (404 nucleotides) under uncultured prokaryote. RNAcentral's name for it is "bacterial SSU rRNA". It matches the Rfam family "Bacterial small subunit ribosomal RNA", at positions 355 to 774 of the family's 1533-position model. The record is from RNAcentral.
UAGGGAAUUUUGCGCAAUGGGCGAAAGCCUGACGCAGCAACACCGCGUGAGCGACGAAGCCCUUUGGGGUGUAAAGCUCUGUCAGUGGGGACGAAACAAUGACGGUACCCACAGAGGAAGCAUCGGCUAACUACGUGCCAGCAGCCGCGGUAAGACGUAGGAUGCAAGCGUUGUCCGGAUUUAUUGGGCGUAAAGCGUUCGUAGGCGGCAUAUCAAGUCUGGUGUUAAAGCCCGGGGCUCAACCCCGGUUCGGCACUGGAUACUGAUAAGCUAGAGUGUAGUAGAGGCAAGGGGAAUUCCCAGUGUAGCGGUGAAAUGCGUAGAUAUUGGGAGGAACACCGGUGGCGUAAGCGCCUUGCUGGGCUAUUACUGACGCUGAGGAACGAAAGCCGGGGGAGCAAAUG